AUACGUAGGUGGCAAGCGUUGUCCGGAAUUAUUGGGCGUAAAGCGCGCGCAGGCGGUCCUUUAAGUCUGAUGUGAAAUCUCGUGGCUUAACCACGAGCGGUCAUUGGAAACUGGGGGACUUGAGUACAGAAGAGGAGAGUGGAAUUCCACGUGUAGCGGUGAAAUGCGUAGAGAUGUGGAGGAACACCAGUGGCGAAGGCGGCUCUCAGGUCUGUGACUGACGCUGAGGUGCGAAAGCGUGGGUAGCGAACAGGAUUAGAUACCCUGGUAGUCCACGCCGUAAACGAUGAGUGCUAGGUGUUGGGGGUUUCCACCCUCAGUGCUGAAGUUAACACAUUAAGCACUCCGCCUGGGGAGUACGGCCGCAAGGCUGAA
This 375-nucleotide ribosomal RNA is filed under the name uncultured bacterium. Its description in RNAcentral is "bacterial SSU rRNA". It matches the Rfam family "Bacterial small subunit ribosomal RNA", at positions 523 to 898 of the family's 1533-position model. The record is from RNAcentral.